Molecule: ribosomal RNA, 442 nt
Filed under: uncultured bacterium
Lineage: Bacteria
Description: partial 16S ribosomal RNA
Rfam family: Bacterial small subunit ribosomal RNA
Source: RNAcentral
CCUACGGGAGGCAGCAGUAGGGAAUCUUUCACAAUGGGCGCAAGCCUGAUGGAGCAACGCCGCGUGCAGGAUGAAGGCCUUCGGGUUGUAAACUGCUGUUAUAAGCGAGAAAUAUGAUGGUAACUGAUGAGUAAGGAUCGGCUAACUACGUGCCAGCAGCCGCGGUCAUACGUAGGAUCCGAGCAUUAUCCGGAGUGACUGGGUGUAAAGAGUUGCGUAGGUGGGAUAAUAAGUAGCUAGUGAAAACUGGUGGCUAAACCAUUCAGACUACUAGCUAAACUGUUAAGCUCGAGACCGUUAGGGGUAACUGGAAUUUCUAGUGUAGGAGUGAAAUCCGUAGAUAUUAGAAGGAACACCAAUAGCGUAGGCAGGUUGCUGGGACGGUUCUGACACUAAGGCACGAAAGCGUAGGGAGCAAACAGGAUUAGAUACCCUUGUAGUC